UACGGAGGGGGCAAGCGUUAUUCGGAAUUAUUGGGCGUAAAGGGCGCGUAGGCGGCCCGGUAAGUCAAAGGUGAAAUCCCCGAGCUCAACUUGGGAACUGCCUUUGAUACUGCUGGGCUUGAGUCCGGGAGGGGAGAGUGGAAUUCCCAGUGUAGCGGUGAAAUGCGUAGAUAUUGGGAGGAACACCGGUGGCGAAGGCGGCUCUCUGGACCGGUUCUGACGCUGAGGCGCGAAAGCGUGGGUAGCAAACAGG
This 253-nucleotide ribosomal RNA is filed under the name uncultured bacterium. RNAcentral's name for it is "partial 16S ribosomal RNA". It matches the Rfam family "Bacterial small subunit ribosomal RNA", at positions 524 to 776 of the family's 1533-position model. The record is from RNAcentral.